This 558-nucleotide ribosomal RNA is filed under the name uncultured bacterium. RNAcentral's name for it is "bacterial SSU rRNA". It matches the Rfam family "Bacterial small subunit ribosomal RNA", at positions 338 to 916 of the family's 1533-position model. The record is from RNAcentral.
CCUACGGGAGGCAGCAGUGGGGAAUAUUGGACAAUGGGCGCAAGCCUGAUCCAGCCAUGCCGCGUGAGUGAUGAAGGCCUUAGGGUUGUAAAGCUCUUUUGCCUGGGAAGAUAAUGACGGUACCAGGAGAAUAAGCCCCGGCUAACUUCGUGCCAGCAGCCGCGGUAAGACGAAGGAUGCAAGCGUUAUCCGGAUUCAUUGGGUUUAAAGGGAGCGUAGGUGGACUGAUAAGUCAGUGGUGAAAUCUCUGGGCUUAACCCAGAAAUUGCCAUUGAUACUGUUGGUCUUGAGUACAGUUGCUGUGGGCGGAAUAUGACAUGUAGUGGUGAAAUACAUAGAGAUGUCAUAGAACACCGAUUGCGAAGGCAGCUCACAAAGCUGUAACUGACACUGAGGCUCGAAAGUGCGGGGAUCAAACAGGAUUAGAUACCCUGGUAGUCCACACUGUAAACGAUGAUUACUCGAUGUUGGCGAUACACAGCCAGCGUCUUAGCGAAAGCGAUAAGUAAUCCACCUGGGGAGUACGCCCGCAAGGGUGAAACUCAAAUGAAUUGACGG